AACCACCUCUUAUAUAUUCCCUGGCAUCCUUAGGAACAGCCUCAGAUACUUUUCCUUAAGUUCUAAGGUAGGAGCUGUCCCCACCCAAGCUACAGAACCACCCAAUUCUUCAAUUGGAUAAAAGGCAAGCAGCCCCAGAAAAUCUCAUUGGAGCUUAAAGAAACCACCACAGCCCAAGAACUCAAGAAAAUUGAAGAGAGUGGUUGGACCAGGAGCAGAGAGAAUCAUACCAUGAGUGAAACUGACCCCAGUGUACAUACUCAAGCAAUAGAUAAACCUAACCUCAAGAAAAUUCGUGACAUCCAUCAGCAAGUCUUGGUCCUUCAAGACAAGACCCUCAUAGCAGUUCCUGAUGAUGGAGUGGUGCACCCAAGUGAGUAGGAAACCUGACCUUAUUUUCUCUUUCUUUGAUAGUCUCAUGCUUUGGAUGACCCUCUCUUUAUAGCGUCUCCCAGGACAGAUACCUGUAGUUCCAAUAAUUUGAGGAAUGACUUGGGCAGUUAUUAGGUAGAAAUGGUGGGAAAAGGGUAAAGUCCUAUACCAGUCACUGACAGAUGGUAAGGGAAGAGGCAGGCUGGCUUUUGUUAGAGUAAAACUGUGCUGUUCCAUGAAGUCAGAGACAAAAGUGCACUAGAACAAUGCUUAGGGAGGAUGGAUGAGGGAGGAGAAACUCAAGUUGAUUGAUCUUUUGCAAUCCAAGCUGGGAGGGUGCUAAUGCCAGGGAAUUAUGAGAAGAAUGGGACUGGGAGGAGGGGUAAUGGGAGGAGAGGAACAGAGUGGAGCACAGGGAUGGAGCAAAUGGAUUUGACCUAGGUUGCUGACAUCCAGGAAAGAGGUUGGGGCCCUCCUCCAUAUGGCAUUUCUUUACAGGCCAACUAGGGUGGCACAGUGGAUAGAGCAAUGAACUUGGCAUUAGGGAGAACUGUGUUAGAUUCUUUCCUUAGCCACUUAAUCGUGUCGUCUUCAUGGACAGUCAUCAGAUAUAAGUGAGGUUCUGUGAGCCUCAUUUUCCUCAUUUGUAAAAUGAGGGGGUCAAAUUUGAUGACCCAUAAAGUCUUUUUAGGUCCAAGUCUAUAACUUUAUGGUAGCAAGUUGAACUGGACCCUAAUGUUCCAGGGAGCAUGUUGAGUGGAUGGAUCUGGGAUAUGGAAUGCCACACUCCACAUCUCCUAGGAAUAUUGCCACUAUUGUCUUUGUGACAAGGUGGGGAUGGGUGUGAUUGGGUGAUUACUCCUUCACUCUCCAAUCUUCCUGAGGAGUAUGGGGCCACAAUUUAUAUUUAUCUAUUGAAAUCAGAUAUUUGCCCUCUAGAAGUACAAUGCUUUCUUGGUGUUUAGGAUAAAAGCUACUUUUGCUAGUCACUCUGGGAGUAAGUAGUCGU
RNAcentral lists this long non-coding RNA (1381 nucleotides) under Vombatus ursinus (common wombat). RNAcentral's name for it is "lncRNA (ENSVURG00010008791.1)". Lineage: Eukaryota; Metazoa; Chordata; Mammalia; Diprotodontia; Vombatidae. The record is from RNAcentral.